GCAUCCGAAACACCAUCUCUGGUUGCUCUCAUUCUCCCAAUCUUGUCCUUGAGGGAUUUCUCUUGUGAACUCAGAAUCCCCACAUCCUUUUGUUAUCAUUUUAUUUCUUGUAUUACCUUGAAUCAUUUUAAAUACUAAUCUUGCAUUAUUUUAAAUCUUGCAUUGCUACCCAUAAUUAUAUAAUUAAUCAAUAAAUCUAUUUAUUUUUAUUUUCAGAGAUUAUAGAUCAUGUCUUCCAA
RNAcentral lists this long non-coding RNA (239 nucleotides) under Elaeis guineensis (African oil palm). RNAcentral's name for it is "long non-coding RNA (EGUI_LNC018396)". Lineage: Eukaryota; Viridiplantae; Streptophyta; Magnoliopsida; Arecales; Arecaceae. The record is from RNAcentral.